Molecule: ribosomal RNA, 902 nt
Filed under: uncultured bacterium
Lineage: Bacteria
Description: bacterial SSU rRNA
Rfam family: Bacterial small subunit ribosomal RNA
Source: RNAcentral
AGAGAUUAGAGUUUGAUCCUAGCUCAGGACGAACGCUGGCGGCGUGCUUAACACAUGCAAGUCGAACGAUGAAGUGGAGCUUGCUCCACGGAUUAGUGGCGAACGGGUGAGGAACACGUGAGAAACCUGCCUCGGAUUUUGGGAUAACAAAUGGAAACGUUUGCUAAUACCAAAUAACGUCGGAGAGUCACAUGACUUUCUGACGAAAGGAAUUCCGAUUCGAGAGGGUCUCGCGGCCUAUCAGCUUGUUGGCGGGGUAAUGGCCCACCAAGGCAACGACGGGUAGCUGGUCUGAGAGGAUGGUCAGCCACACUGGGACUGAGACACGGCCCAGACUCCUACGGGAGGCAGCAGUGGGGAAUCUUGCGCAAUGGGCGAAAGCCUGACGCAGCAACGCCGCGUGCGGGAAGAAGGCUUUCGGGCUGUAAACCGCUUUCAGCAGGAACGAAAAUGACGGUACCUGCAGAAGAAGGAGCGGCCAACUAUGUGCCAGCAGCCGCGGUGAUACAUAGGCUUCAAGCGUUGUCCGGAUUUAUUGGGCGUAAAGAGUUCGUAGGCGGUCGAGUAAGUCGGGUGUGAAAAUUCUGGGCUCAACCCAGAGACGCCACCCGAUACUGCUUAACUUGAGUUCGAUAGGGGAGUGGGGAAUUCCUAGUGUAGCGGUGAAAUGCGCAGAUAUUAGGAGGAACACCGGUGGCGAAGGCGCCACUCUGGAUCGACACUGACGCUGAGGAACGAAAGCAUGGGUAGCAAACAGGAUUAGAUACCCUGGUAGUCCAUGCGGUAAACGGUGGGCACUAGGUGUGGGUUUCUAUUAACGAAAUCCGCGCCGUCGCUAACGCAUUAAGUGCCCCGCCUGGGGAGUACGGUCGCAAGACUAAAACUCAAAGGAAUUGACGGGG